RNAcentral lists this long non-coding RNA (1155 nucleotides) under Marmota monax (woodchuck). The record is from RNAcentral. Lineage: Eukaryota; Metazoa; Chordata; Mammalia; Rodentia; Sciuridae.
GGGGCCUAGUCUGAAGAUUAGGUCUCUGGAGGGUGUGCCUAUGAAGGGGAUAUUUGGGACUCCUGUGUCUUCUUCCUCUUUUUGCUUCCCAGUCACCAUUAGAUGAGCAAUUUGUUCCACCACACUCUCCCAUCAUAAUCGAAACAGGCCUUAAAGCAACAGAUUGACCAACCAUGGUUUGAAAUCUCCCACAGUGUAAGCCAGAGUAAACCUCUCUUCUUUUUAACUUUUUAACUUCUCAGGAAUUUGUUACAGUAACAGAAAGCUAACACUGGAAGAAGCAUCAGCUACUCUACUUUAUUCUGACCACAUCUUCUGGUCUUUCUUUCCUUUUUUGGAAAGGGAGAAAGAGAAAGUUCCUGAAAUUGAAUCCAGGGCCUCAUGUAUGCUAAGCAUGCUCCAUACCACUGAGCUACAUCCCCAAACCCUUUUCUUCUGUUCACAUUACUUCUCAUUGGAAACAGCAGACACUCUGAGAUCCUAGCAAGACUCUCCUAUGUCUGAAGAGUAGACAUUUCCCCAGAAUUUAGUGUGGAAAAAGUGUCGAUGUAAAUUUCUGGGUAUCUUUUGGGAAAAUGGAACCUGGACACCUAAAGACAGGAAAACAAGAAAUAAAACCUUAAGUGGAAUUUGAAGAGGUCUUGGUGGAAGGUGGAAGAAGUGAAAAAAGUUCUAAAUUCUUGCCUUGAAAUUCUUCAAGUUUCUUGUCUGUAGAAGGCUGAGACUUCAUGAAAAAGGUUAAACCUGAGCAUGGAGGUGAUCCUGAACCACACCACUCAGUCCCACUAGGCCUGCUGCAUUCAGUUACUAAAGUCUAACCUACUCAUCUCAUUUGUGGAAGUCAGAAACAUCAUUCGUGACCUUUUCUGAAAGCUAAAUUUGGAGACAACAUAACCACCUAGAACUACAGUUUGGAGGAGAUAUUGGUGAACUCUUAGAAAGUUUUCAGUGUAACUGGUCUCAAGAUAAAAUACAGAACUUCCACUUUUCAUUGGCUCUAAUUACUGGUAAACAGCCCCCUACUGUAGAACAUUCAGGACACUUGGGGUUUUUGUGUAUUUUGUGUGUGUGUGUGUGUGUGUGUGUAGGGGGGUAAAUGAUGCAUGUUGUUGAGAGUUCUGAAUGUUAGGGAGCCCAGAAUACCAGGAAGAAGGG